UAAGCGGAGGAAAAGAAACCAACAGGGAUUGCCUUAGUAGCGGCGAGUGAAGCGGCAAUAGCUCAAAUUUGAAAUCUGGCGUCUUCGGCGUCCGAGUUGUAAUUUGAAGAAGGUAUCUUUGGUUUUGGCUCUUGUCUAUGUUCCUUGGAACAGGACGUCACAGAGGGUGAGAAUCCCGUGCGAUGAGAUGCCCAAUUCCAUGUAAAGUUCCUUCGACGAGUCGAGUUGUUUGGGAAUGCAGCUCUAAGUGGGUGGUAAAUUCCAUCUAAAGCUAAAUAUUGGCGAGAGACCGAUAGCGAACAAGUACUGUGAAGGAAAGAUGAAAAGAACUUUGAAAAGAGAGUGAAAAAGUACGUGAAAUUGUUGAAAGGGAAGGGCUUGAGGUCAGACUUGGUUUACCAGGCCAGCAUCAGUUUGGGUGGCAGGAUAAUAACAUAGUAAUGUGGCACUGCUUCGGUGGUGUGUUAUAGACUUUGUUGAUACUGCCUGCCUAGACUGAGGACUGCGUCUUUGACUAGGAUGCUGGCAUAAUGACCUUAAGCCGCCCGUCUUGA
This 554-nucleotide ribosomal RNA is filed under the name Yamadazyma sp. RNAcentral's name for it is "partial large subunit ribosomal RNA". It matches the Rfam family "Eukaryotic large subunit ribosomal RNA", at positions 47 to 657 of the family's 3401-position model. Lineage: Eukaryota; Fungi; Ascomycota; Pichiomycetes; Serinales; Debaryomycetaceae. The record is from RNAcentral.